This is a long non-coding RNA of Gadus macrocephalus (Pacific cod), 1041 nucleotides long. RefSeq lists it as uncharacterized. NCBI's taxonomy places the organism in Eukaryota, Metazoa, Chordata, Actinopteri, Gadiformes, Gadidae. The record is from RefSeq and is a predicted model, not a curated record. The transcript has 2 exons.
CUAUGUUUUCCAUAAUGUAUAGCCUCACUGUGAUAAUUUAGUCCAGAUUUUAAGAGUCUAGGUGUAGUGGUUUUCAAUCAGGAUCAGUUCUAAUGCGGUCUGGACCCCUAAAAAGCAUUAAAAUGUGCCUUUAUUGCAUUUUCACAAAUAGGGUAAAGGUUUCACAAAUCUGUAACUAUGUUUUAUAUAAUGUAUAGCCUCACUGUGAUAAUUUAGUCCAGAUUUGAAGAGUCUAGGUGUAGUGGUUUUCAAUCAGGACCGAUUUAAGGUGGACCAGCAACUGCCAAAUCGGAUGCUGCGAAUCGGAUGCCAACUUCAGCUCUGCCUUCAGAGGCCGGACAUUUCUGGACUUUUGGAUGCAGCGACGCAGCGAAUAUCCGGCGCUUUCAGACAAGGCUGUGCGCUUUCUCAUUCCACUCGCGACCAGGCUUCUCUUGGUCGCAAAUGGUCGCAAAUAAGAGCGAUGACUACUGUCAUGUCAUCGCUCUUAAUUUAUCCCAAAAAACGCAGCUGAUCGGACGCAUCACACGAUUCGGAGGCAUGCAUCACAUUUAAGGAUUUUAAAAACUGAUUCUGAUACUUUUUUUUUCAGAAAUGCAUUCGGAAGAGAAGGGAGACUAGCGUUGCUCACGGGUUGGAAUGAAAGGGAGAAAAGGGGACAGAGUUGCCUGCGGAAGCGAUGUCUGAGAUGCAGAGACUGCUUCACGCUACCAGUGUCAGUUUCGUACGGUGUGGAAUGAGAGCUUGUGAAGGCACUAUUGCGCAAGUACGCCUGCGUGCUUGCACAAUAGCAUACUGCCCGAGAAGCAGUGUUGUAUAGUAGCGAAGUAGAAAUACUUCGUUACUGUACUUAAGUAGUUUUUUUGGAUAUUUGUACUUUACUUUACUACUUAUAUUUCUCUGUACUUUUACUUCGCUACAUUUUGCGAAGAAAACGGAUACUUUUACUCCGCUACAUUUCCCUUGAAACCUUCGUUACUCGUUACAAAAUCAACUCAUCUUUAGAAAAAAAAAAAAGAAUCAUGAGAGAUAUGAGAAUAA